GGGGACAUGGCGGAACUGGUAGACGCGCCAGACUUAAAAUCUGUUGGGCAUCGCCCGUCCGGGUUCGACCCCGGUGUCCCUACCA
Molecule: transfer RNA, 85 nt
Filed under: Phenylobacterium glaciei
Lineage: Bacteria; Pseudomonadati; Pseudomonadota; Alphaproteobacteria; Caulobacterales; Caulobacteraceae
Description: Phenylobacterium sp. 20VBR1 tRNA-Leu
Rfam family: tRNA
About the family: Transfer RNA (tRNA) molecules are approximately 80 nucleotides in length. Their secondary structure includes four short double-helical elements and three loops (D, anti-codon, and T loops). Further hydrogen bonds mediate the characteristic L-shaped molecular structure. tRNAs have two regions of fundamental functional importance: the anti-codon, which is responsible for specific mRNA codon recognition, and the 3' end, to which the tRNAs corresponding amino acid is attached (by aminoacyl-tRNA synthetases). tRNAs cope with the degeneracy of the genetic code in two manners: having more than one tRNA (with a specific anti-codon) for a particular amino acid; and 'wobble' base-pairing, i.e. permitting non-standard base-pairing at the 3rd anti-codon position.
Source: RNAcentral